Molecule: non-coding RNA, 398 nt
Organism: Bacteroides sp. CAG:709
Lineage: Bacteria; Pseudomonadati; Bacteroidota; Bacteroidia; Bacteroidales; Bacteroidaceae
Source: Rfam
GGGGAUGUUCUGGUUUUGACAGCAUUGAUGUCGGGUGGUAAGCACGUCGAGCGUAUGGUACGUUUGCUCGUUAAUCUCAGCGGCCGUAAAUUCAGUUGCUAACAACAACUAUGCACUCGCUGCGUAAUCAACUAGGUUGAUCACCUUAAUCGGGCCGCCAAGGUUGCGGCUCUGACGAGUAUCCCGCAGACUUUAAGCCGGUUAUGUUCUGGUCACGGGGUAUCAUUCAAACCGGAUGCACGGAGGGACUCCUUUAAACUCCGCCAAGAUUUAAAGGAUAAGCUCAGGUUAGCCCGCCAUCCGGCAGGCCCGGGCCGACAAUCAAAGGACGGAUAAACGUGUAGAAAGCUAUCUGGUGCGAUGUUUGGACGGCGGUUCGACUCCGCCCAUCUCCACUG